AUUAAGAUUGAAAUUAGCAGUCCUUUUGCCCGAGAUCGGUCCACCAAUUAUACUGGUAGACCGAUUCGAGAUCAGCACGAUCGUCACUUUCGAUCUUUAUCGGUAAAUUAGUCCGAUUCCCUCACUGUCAUCAGAUAAUGUCCUCAUGGUUCUCCGAUCGCCGGGGUUAUAAAUUUUCAGGCGAAGGGCGAAGAAAAUAGUCUGGAAAAGAUCAAAAG
This 218-nucleotide unclassified non-coding RNA is filed under the name Hevea brasiliensis (rubber tree). The record is from RNAcentral. Lineage: Eukaryota; Viridiplantae; Streptophyta; Magnoliopsida; Malpighiales; Euphorbiaceae.